GGAAGAUGCUGUGCCUCGAGGAUUAGUUUAAACAGGGGGCUAUAAAAGAUGUAACAGAUGCAAACUGUAACACAAGGGCCAUUAACCCUUUCUCUGCCGGGCACACUCAGUCCCCACGCCCCACACCUAUUGUCUCCUGUGCUAGAAGCUUUGCAGAAAACCUGGAAAUUUUGGCCAGAAAUGGUGAGAAGAAAAAGCAUGAAGAAGCCGCGAAGUGUGGGGGAGAAAAAGGUGGAAGCGAAGAAACAGCUCCCGGAGCAAACUGUACAAAAACCUCGCCAAGAGUGUCGGGAGGCAGGACCGUUAUUCCUGCAGAGCAGGAGAGAGACGAGAGACCCUGAAACACGCGCCACCUAUCUUUGUGGGGAGGGAUAAUUGAAGCGCCCUGAGCGUACCAGAGCCAGAAAAAAAAAUGCUGCAUGGGAGCUGCAUCUUAGGGCAUGUGUAUUAGGGUGUGUGCAUGAUGAAUUUCUGGACUGGAUCCCAAUAUUAAAAAGUAGUUUGGCAUUUUAAUAAAGGGUCUCUAAGUAAAUUAAAAUAGAACACUCGGUUGGCCGAUCUCUGAAUCUCUCUACACCUCGGGGAGACCUCACUACAAAGUAAGGGAGAGUGUGUAGGGAGGCAGGAGGAGAAACGAGAAAGGCCAUAGAGAAACUUAGCAGGGAAGGGAGAGCAUGAUAUUAAACGGCAUGGGGUCUAAGUUUUGGAGUAUAUAUUUUUUGAUAUUACAAUUAAAGUAAGAUUAAAAAGAAAAGACUCCACCUUUGCUCUGAAGGGAUUGGUUAUGCAAAUAUGGAAGGGAUUUCCUGGAGAAUACAGCUUUCUACUGUAUGGUUAAUUAAAUAAUCACUCAAAAGCUUCCAACGUGACGCUUCUGUCGUAAUCCAAUCAGGUUACAUAGGUCCUAAACAAGAAAGAUAUUUUCCACAUCUGGAAGUCAGCAAUUUAGCAAGUACUGCACAUUAUUAACCAAUUCAGAGCCCACUUCCCAGGGGAAUUUUUUUGAAGUUUAAGUGUUCUUAACCAAUGCUCUGCUGUUUUGUUAAUCAAAAAGCUGGUUUACACUGCACAUAAUUGGAACUAAUAUAGAAGUAAAUAAAGACAGCCAAAUUUGAGGAUGCUGAGCACAGGCAUUUAUCGGAAAAGGAAGAAAUCUCCUAUCCUCGGAUGGUUCAGGCUCAAUUUCUUAAAUAACUGUGAGACUUUUUUUUUUUUCCUAAAGAGUGAAAGUGCUUGAGAACCUCAGAGCACAAAUAAACUUCUAGCCUCACAGCAUUUAGGAUUCUUCGGAAAGGUAAAGGUGGAGGUGUUAAGAGGACCAGAGAGCUGCCUCACACCAAUUUUUAAGCUUUAAUAUUGUUAAAUAUGUUACACCCUCCUGUUUCCAGUCUGAUGAAAUCUGAAACAAAUAAUACCCUGAUCCAACACUAUAUUAAGAUAAACUGCUUUGAACUGUGCUUUGAAUGUGUGCCUAAAGCAAGACUUUGAAUGCAAGAGUCACUGGCAAUUGCACUCAAAGGAGGGACAAGCCACCACAUGGGUUGCCACAUCCACACUCCCAGAGAAAGCUUCACAUGUGAGAUAAAUGCACUCAAAGAUUCCUCACAAGUAGCUCUUUGGAGCUUCAGAUGUGAAAUGGAUCAUUCCUCAAUCUGUAAUAGACCCUUCUGUGAAGCUCUUCAAUCAAACCAGAGAAUUCAAGAGUUUCCAACACCUAAGAGUGGUAUUUGGCAAAUGGUGGGCCAAAGGAAUAAAGAAGGCAUGCAAAACUCUUGACAGAAGACAUUCAGAAAUUGAUUUGAUAUCAGAUACAAGGAGAAAAUAUGCCAGUAAGAAAAUGCAUUUUUCAAGAUUAAAUUCGGCAUUUGUUACUUAAUAGCAUUUGUCAUAUUCCAAUUUUUCAUAUGUAGUAAAUUCAUUUCAAAUCAUUUCGCUCUUCCAAGUGCCUUUGUGUAUUGUAUUUCUUUUUUCACAUCCUUUUGGAUAACAUUUGAGA
RNAcentral lists this long non-coding RNA (1996 nucleotides) under Homo sapiens (human). Its description in RNAcentral is "HSALNT0040809". The stretch from base 40 to 167 matches the Rfam family "ZEB2 antisense RNA 1 conserved region 1". The record is from RNAcentral. Lineage: Eukaryota; Metazoa; Chordata; Mammalia; Primates; Hominidae.